GACGAACGCUGGCGGCGCGCUUAACACAUGCAAGUCGAACGGAAAGGCCUGCUUUCCCUUGUGGAUUGCGGGUACUCGAGUGGCGAACGGGUGAGUAACACGUGAGUGAUCUGCCCCCAACUUGGGUAUAAGCCUGGGAAACUGGGUCUAAUUCCCGAUAGGACUGCAGGGUGGUGCCUGUGGUGGAAAACGAUUUUCUAGUGGUUGGGGAUGAGCUCGCGGCCUAUCAGCUUGUUGGUGGGGUAAUGGCCUACCAAGGCGGCGACGGGUAGCCGGCCUGAGAGGGUGGACGGCCACAUUGGGACUGAGACACGGCCCAGACUCCUACGGGAGGCAGCAGUGGGGAAGAGUGCACAAUGGGCGGAAGCCUGAUGCAGCGACGCCGCGUGGGGGAUGACGGCCUUCGGGUUGUAAACUCCUUUCGACCGCGAGGAAGCCACCUGGUUGGAAGGGUGGUGACGGUAGUGGUAGAAGAAGCACCGGCUAACUACGUG
This 494-nucleotide ribosomal RNA is filed under the name uncultured bacterium. RNAcentral describes it as "partial 16S ribosomal RNA". It matches the Rfam family "Bacterial small subunit ribosomal RNA", at positions 28 to 507 of the family's 1533-position model. The record is from RNAcentral.